This is a non-coding RNA of Callithrix jacchus (white-tufted-ear marmoset), 300 nucleotides long. Lineage: Eukaryota; Metazoa; Chordata; Mammalia; Primates; Cebidae. The record is from Rfam.
GCCGGGUGCAGUGGGGCAUGCCUGUAGUCCCAGCUACUCAGGAGGCUGAGGUGAAAGGAUCACUUAAGCCCAGGAGUUCUGGGCUGUAGUGCGCUAUGCCGAUCAGGUGUCCGCACUAAGUUUGGCAACAAUAUGGUGACCUCCCAGGAGUGAGGGACCACCAGGUUGCCUAAGGAGGGGUGAACCGGCGCAGACUGGAAACGGAGCAGGUCACAACUCCUGUGCUGAUCAGUAGUGGGAUCUUGCCUGUGCAUAACCAACACACUCCGGCCUGGGCAACAUAGUGAGACCCUGUCUCUU